GCAUUGCUGACGAGUCCCGAACAGGACGAAACAGUUGUCCCGGUGC
RNAcentral lists this non-coding RNA (46 nucleotides) under Echinostoma caproni. The record is from RNAcentral. Lineage: Eukaryota; Metazoa; Platyhelminthes; Trematoda; Plagiorchiida; Echinostomatidae.